GAUGAACGCUGGCGGCGUGCCUAAUACAUGCAAGUCGAGCGAACAGACGAGGAGCUUGCUCCUCUGACGUUAGCGGCGGACGGGUGAGUAACACGUGGAUAACCUACCUAUAAGACUGGGAUAACUUCGGGAAACCGGAGCUAAUACCGGAUAAUAUAUUGAACCGCAUGGUUCAAUAGUGAAAGACGGUUUUGCUGUCACUUAUAGAUGGAUCCGCGCCGCAUUAGCUAGUUGGUAAGGUAACGGCUUACCAAGGCAACGAUGCGUAGCCGACCUGAGAGGGUGAUCGGCCACACUGGAACUGAGACACGGUCCAGACGCCUACGGAAGGCAGCAGUAGGGAAUCUUCCGCAAUGGGCGAAAGCCUGACGGAGCAACGCCGCGUGAGUGAUGAAGGUCUUCGGAUCGUAAAACUCUGUUAUUAGGGAAGAACAAAUGUGUAGUAACUAUGCACGUCUUGACGGUACCUAAUCAGAAAGCCACGGCUAACUACGUG
Molecule: ribosomal RNA, 496 nt
Filed under: uncultured bacterium
Lineage: Bacteria
Description: partial 16S ribosomal RNA
Rfam family: Bacterial small subunit ribosomal RNA
Source: RNAcentral